Molecule: ribosomal RNA, 427 nt
Filed under: uncultured bacterium
Lineage: Bacteria
Description: bacterial SSU rRNA
Rfam family: Bacterial small subunit ribosomal RNA
Source: RNAcentral
UGGGGAAUCUUCCGCAAUGGGCGCAAGCCUGACGGAGCAACGCCGCGUGAGUGAAGAAGGUCUUCGGAUCGUAAAGCUCUGUUGACGGGGACGAACGUGCGGAGUGCGAAUAGCGCUUUGUAAUGACGGUACCUGUCGAGGAAGCCACGGCUAACUACGUGCCAGCAGCCGCGGUAAUACGUAGGUGGCGAGCGUUGUCCGGAAUCAUUGGGCGUAAAGGGAGCGCAGGCGGGCCGGUAAGUCUUACUUAAAAGUGCGGGGCUCAACCCCGUGAUGGGAGAGAAACUAUCGGUCUUGAGUACAGGAGAGGAAAGCGGAAUUCCCAGUGUAGCGGUGAAAUGCGUAGAUAUUGGGAAGAACACCAGUGGCGAAGGCGGCUUUCUGGACUGCAACUGACGCUGAGGCUCGAAAGCCAGGGGAGCGAACG